Long non-coding RNA from Schistocerca serialis cubense, 444 nucleotides. RefSeq lists it as uncharacterized. NCBI's taxonomy places the organism in Eukaryota, Metazoa, Arthropoda, Insecta, Orthoptera, Acrididae. The record is from RefSeq and is a predicted model, not a curated record. The transcript has 3 exons.
UUGGCACAGGUGUUAGAAGAGAAAUGUUAACGCCACCCGACACCGAAUAAACCUAUCGGAUUGUCGUCCUCGACUGUCGCAUCCAAAGAACGGGUGUUUACUUCUUCUGUGCUUCCACAUCCACAAAGAGGUGGCUAAGCAGCAUCAGUGUGGUCUACAUGUUGUCAGAGACAUGUAUGAUUGAAACUCAGUCACACUACAAGUAGUCUCAUUCACAAUGAAAAUAGGUAUGUGAAUACAACAACCCAGCGCAUAGUGGAAGAAUGGCCAGUUUGAGCUCACAAGGGAACCUUCAUUGACUUCCUUGCUGCAACAGAGGAGGCUAUCGAUGAUAUUCAGUACGUCUUAAUUGUACUAAGAGCUGCUCUUCCAACCCCAUACUAAUGAAGUCACCUUAUUGAAAUGUCAUGAUCAACUAGGUCAAAAGCUUUCGAUAAGUCACAC